Long non-coding RNA from Homo sapiens (human), 3392 nucleotides. RefSeq lists it as uncharacterized. The record is from RefSeq and is a predicted model, not a curated record. NCBI's taxonomy places the organism in Eukaryota, Metazoa, Chordata, Mammalia, Primates, Hominidae. The transcript is spliced from 2 exons.
AAAGGGCCCUGCUUCUCCCACUACCCUGUGAUCCAGGGUGUUCAAUCAGAACACCCCAUUUCCUGAGUCACAGUGAUUGGUCCAGAGGAAUACACAUGACCCAAGCAUGGCCAAUCAGUGCUCUCUGGAGUAAUUGUCAUGGAUGCUGGCCGUUGAGUUUCUCCUUUUGAGACUGCUAGCUGUCAGUACCAUACAACCCUGGAGCUACCUGAAGCCUUCUUGCCACCAUGUGGAACAAGACUAAACAUCAGAUAUUUACUGAAUGUGUACUACAUGUCAGGCUCUAUUUUAACAGUUUAAGAUAUAGCUGAAGAAAGGAAAAUAUAGAUUACAGGUUGGAUGUGAAAAAGGCAAAAAAGAGUAGAUAAAGUAAUUGAGAAUGAAGGACAGCUGCCCGAUGAAGGCAGCUUUGAUAGAGGAAAAAGCAGCUUGUCUUGUCGCAGAUUCUUAGUUUUGCCCUAUGUCAGCAAACAUGGAACAUAAGAAGCAAGAACAUCUCAAGACAUCCACUGAAGGAAGAAGAGGAGAAAAUAAAAUAAGAAGACAAAAACGACAAUAACGUAUUCAGCAAUAAUAGAUGGCAGACACAAAAGAAGGAACAUUGGAGGGAAAAAGUAGUAGGGCCUGAAACAAGUGGCAGAGGUGGACAGCACAGUCAUCACCCAAAACAAAAGCAAGUGGAGGUGGGGAGUUCAAACACAGUCUUAUGGAACUGAUUAAAAUGACAUAAAUAUGGGUAAAACACAGCAUAAAGUAGGAACAGGCAGUAUAAAAAAUAAGAAGAAAAAAGUAAAAACCCCCAAAGGGCUAAACCUAUGGAAUUCUGAGAAGAAAAUAUGGAUAUGAGUUGAGACACAAGAAAGAACAUUGAAUACUAGCAAAUCUUAUUCCAAAGGACUGCGGUCGGGAUCUUCCUUUUGAUCUGGAAGGGAGACUCAUGGUACAGUUGCAGCUCGAGAGGAGAGGCACACAGUCAAGCCACAGAGGAAGGAGAUGUGCUUUUGGGAAGUCCUGAUGACCACACCCCUGGCCGGGCCUUCCAGUGGUCCAUAGGCUGCCAGCCAGAGAAAUGGAAUGAGUAAUGAGAAUGAUGAUAAUUGAGGAGAGCAGUUGUGUUCUGAUUAUUUAAAAACUAUUCCUAAUAUACAAGUAAAAUAUUCAUUCUAGAAAAAUUCUUUGAAAGAAAGAUAAUCGAAUCAAAUAUGAGUAAAAGAAAAUUCACGAUCCUAAACAGCGAUGUUUCUGAGGGAGAAAAUGCCACUGACAUUUCUAAUUAGUCAUUUGAAGUUUUUGCAGGAACUGCCCACCCAGUCCCAUCCCCCCCCGCUAAAGUUGGCAGUGAUAUUCCAUAUACAGGACAGGUAGUAAACAGGACUGCCAAGUACCAAUCAAGAAUAAAUAUUUCAAUCAGCUAAUGCAAGAUAUUCUCUAUGAAAAAUAUGAUGGCAAGUUCUGUAAAGGGAUCCUCUCAAGUAUUCAUCACACUACUGAUUAUCACAUGCAUAAGAGGAAACAACCGCAGAUAAGGAAAAGAACCAUCCCACAGGAUUAAGGGGAACAGUAUCAAGUUCUUACACAUGACUGGAAAAGGGCUUACUUUCAUCAGCCAGACUAGAAAAUCUCCUAAUUCAUGAAUCACUUGGUAGAGUACUCAAAGAAAUCUUGCCUCAGUAGUGGAGCAUAAUUAGCCCUAAACUAAACACUUCUCUGGUCCUGAUUAACAAAUCAUAAAGGUUUGAUCCCCAAACACAAACUGUUUCCAAACAACUCAACUGCUCAAGAAUAUUUAUAGAAAUAAAAAAAUUCAACACUCAAUAGGAAAAAAAUAUACAAUGUCUGGCAUACAAUAAAAAAAUGACCAGGAAGGCAAAGAAGCAGUAAAACAUGACCAUAAUGAAGGGAAAACAAUCAACUGAAACCAAACCAAACCUGAGGCAGAUGUUAAAAUUAACAAACAAGGAUAUUAAAACAGCUAUUACAGCUAUAUAUGUUCAAAAACUUAAGUAGAGACACUAAAAGAUAUUUAAAAUGUAUACAUCAAACUUCUAGAAAUGAAAAAAUAUGUUUGAGAUUAAAUGUAUUUUAAUGUAUCCCUUUAUCUCAAAAUACAGUCAAAUUGGGGGUUAAGGUUUUGCCAUAUGAAUUUUGGAGAGACACAAUUCAGUCCAUAGCAGCAUGGUGUACCUUUUCCAACCUUUUACAUUUAACCAUUUUUUUUUUUUUUAGUAUGGGAAGUAUUUUUCUUUUAUAGGAAGAAUAGAGUUGAAUUUUGCUUUUUUAUGCAAUCCUGACAAUCUCAACUGGGGGAGUCAAAAUAACGUGUGUGUGUGUGUGUGUGUGUGUGUGUGCGCGCGUGUGUGUGUAUCCAUCAAAGUUGUAGUUAAUAAACCAACAGAGAAGAUAAAAUGAGUUAAUAAAAAUAAUCCAAAAGAAGGCAGAAAAAGUACAAAGGGAGAACAAAUAACACUUGGAAUAAAUAGAAAGCAGAUAGCAAGGUGACAAAUUUAAACCUUAGCAUAUCAAUAAUCACAUUAAAUGUUAUUAUUUUGACCCCCCAACUGAGAUUGUUAGGACUGGGUAAAAAUGCAAAAUUCAACUCUACUCUUCCUAUAAGAAAAACACUUCACAUACUAAAAGAAAAUGAGUUAUAUGUAAAAGGAUGGAAAAGAUAUACCAUGCUGCUAUGGACUGAACUGUGUCUCUCCAAAAUUCAUAUGAUGAAAUCUUAACCCCCAAUUUGACUGUAUUUUGAGAUAAGGGCAUUAAGGAAGUGAUUAAAGUCGAAUGAGGAUAUAAGGGUGGGACUCUAAUCCAACAGAACUGGAAAGGAAGAGACACCAGAACUUGCUCUCUUUCUCUCUCUCCCCACCCUGCUCUCUGCUUGCACACAGAGAAAGCUGUGUGAGGACACUACAAGAAGGUAGCCAGUUGCAAGACAAGAAGAGAGACCUCACCAGACACCAAUUCUGCUGGCACCUUGAUCUUGGACUUCAGUCUUCAGAACUGUGGAAAGAUAAAUGUCUGUUGUUUAAGUUACCCAGCCUGUGCUGUUUUGUUAUGGUAGCCUGAACAGCCAUGUUAACAUGCUAAGACUAAUCAAAAGGAAGCUGAAGUGGCUAUAUGAAUGUCAGAGCAAGAGCAAACAAUAUUAAUAUCACUGGGAACAAGGAAGUUCGUUUCAUAAUGAAUAAGGGGUGAAUUCAUUGAGAGUACGUAACAAUCCUAAAUGCUUAUGUACCUAAUAAAAUCAAUUUAAAAUACAGGAAGCAAAAAUUCAUUUAACGGCAAAGAGAAAUAGAUGACUCUACAACUAUAGACAAAUAUAUCAAUACCCCUCAAUAAUAAUAGAACAAUAUCAGUAAAGAUAUAGAAGACUUGAACCAAACUACCCA